GCUCCUGGGACGGGGUGGGCUCCCCGCGCCUCCCACUGCCCUACGGCUUCUCCGCCAUGCAAGGCUGGCACGUCUCUAUGGAGGAUGCUCAGAACUGUAUCCCUGAGCUGGACAGUGAGACAGCCAUGUUUUCUGUCUACAAUGGACAUGGAGAGGAGGAAGUUGCCUUGUACUGUGCCAAAUAUCUCCCUGAUAUCAUCAAAGAUCAGAAGGCUUACAAGGAAGGCAAGCUACACAAGGCUUUAGAAGAUGCCUUUUUGGCUAUAGAUGCCAAACUUACUACUGAGGAAGUCAUGAAAGAACAGACCCAAAUUGCAGGGAGACCCACAGAAGAUGAGGAUGAAAAAGAUAAAGUAGCUGAUGAAGAUGAUGUGGACAAUAAGGAGGCUGCAUUGCUGCAUGAAGAGGCUACCAUGACUGUUGAAGAACUGCUGACACGCUACAGGCAGAACUGUCACAAGGGCCCUCCCCACACCAAAACUGGAGCUGGGACAGGCGAGGAACCAGGGAUCCAAGGUCUCAAUACGGAGGCAGGACCUGAGGACCCAUCUAGGGAAAUUCCUUCACAGGAAAAUGGCCCCACAUCCAAGGCCCACACAAGCCUUUCUUCCGACUUGGAACGUGCAACAUGA
Molecule: RNA transcript, 632 nt
Organism: Octodon degus (degu)
Lineage: Eukaryota; Metazoa; Chordata; Mammalia; Rodentia; Octodontidae
Gene name: protein phosphatase 1G pseudogene
Exons: 1
Source: RefSeq, a predicted model, not a curated record